UACGGAGGGUGCAAGCAUUGAUCGGAAUUACUGGGCGUAAAGGGCGCGUAGGCGGCCGAGAAAGUCAGAUGUGAAAUUCCGGGGCUCAACCCCGGAGCUGCAUUUGAAACUUCUUGGCUAGAGUGCAAUUAGGGAAAACGGAAUUCCACGUGUAGCGGUGAAAUGCGUAGAUAUGUGGAAGAACACCGGUGGUGAAGACGGUUUUCUGGGUUGUAACUGACGCUGAGGCGCGAAAGCUAGGGGAGCAAACAGG
Molecule: ribosomal RNA, 253 nt
Filed under: uncultured bacterium
Lineage: Bacteria
Description: partial 16S ribosomal RNA
Rfam family: Bacterial small subunit ribosomal RNA
Source: RNAcentral